Molecule: transfer RNA, 72 nt
Filed under: Felis catus (domestic cat)
Lineage: Eukaryota; Metazoa; Chordata; Mammalia; Carnivora; Felidae
Also listed under: 2 other names
Source: Rfam by way of RNAcentral
ACCUGGCUGGCUCAGUCAGUGGAGCAUGCGACCCUUAAUCACAGGGUUGUGAGUUCGAGCUCAUGUUGGGUG